GCCGAUAAACCUCCGCCUACGCC
RNAcentral lists this non-coding RNA (23 nucleotides) under Arabidopsis thaliana (thale cress). The record is from RNAcentral. Lineage: Eukaryota; Viridiplantae; Streptophyta; Magnoliopsida; Brassicales; Brassicaceae.